GGGUCAGUAGGUUGGUCGUGCCACCGGUACGUACUGGUCUCACUGAUUCCUCCUUCCCGAUGAACCGUAAUGCCAUUAAUUUGGUGUUGCGGGGAAACAGGACUGUUACUUUGAAAAAAUUAGAGUGUUUAAAGCAAGCUAACGCUUGAAUACAUUAGCAUGGAAUAAUGGAAUAGGACGAUCGACCCUAUUUUGUUGGUUUCUAGGAUUGACGUA
This 216-nucleotide ribosomal RNA is filed under the name Glomeromycotina sp. Its description in RNAcentral is "partial small subunit ribosomal RNA". The stretch from base 75 to 216 matches the Rfam family "Eukaryotic small subunit ribosomal RNA", at positions 721 to 864 of the family's 1831-position model. The record is from RNAcentral. Lineage: Eukaryota; Fungi; Glomeromycota.